GGCUGUCGUCAGCUCGUGUCGUGAGAUGUCGCGUUAAGUCGCUUAACGAGCGAAACCCUUGUCUCUAGUUGCCAGCGCGUAAUGGCGGGGACUCUAGAGAGACUGCCGGUGUUAAACCGGAGGAAGGUGGGGAUGACGUCAAGUCCUCAUGGCCUUUAUGUCCAGGGCUGCACACGUCCUACAAUGCAGAGUAUAAAGCGACGCAAAACUGUGAAGUCGAGCAAAUCGCAAAAAGCUCUGCUCAGUUUGGAUUGCAGGCUGCAAUUCGCCUGCAUGAAGCUGGAAUCGCUAGUAAUCGCGGGUCAGCAUACCGCGGUGAAUGUGUUCCUGAGCCUUGUACACACCGCCCGUCAAGCCACGAAAGUUGGGGGGGCCCGAAGUCCCGAUGCUAACCGUAAGGGGGCUAGUGCCGAAGGUCAACUCGAUGAUUGGGACUAAGUCGUAACAAGGUAGCCGUA
RNAcentral lists this ribosomal RNA (458 nucleotides) under uncultured organism. Its description in RNAcentral is "bacterial SSU rRNA". It matches the Rfam family "Bacterial small subunit ribosomal RNA", at positions 1047 to 1504 of the family's 1533-position model. The record is from RNAcentral.